Molecule: long non-coding RNA, 268 nt
Filed under: Lathyrus oleraceus (garden pea)
Lineage: Eukaryota; Viridiplantae; Streptophyta; Magnoliopsida; Fabales; Fabaceae
Description: Pisum sativum (pea) long non-coding RNA (PSAT_LNC013576)
Source: RNAcentral
UGAUGUUAGCCACAAUGUGAUUAAACUGAUCCACAGUAACAUCCUGCUCUACGUAUGCUUGUUCAAGAACUCUCUGUAGUGCUUCUCUGUGUGCUUCGGAAUUCAAAAGUAGAGACAACACGGAGAUUUUUGAGGGAGUCUGGAGCAGUUGCUCAACCAUAUUAAAUUCGCUCCUCUUUAUUAAUCGAAGUACCUCAUCAUCAUCAUUGGCUUUCAAGUUGCUGGAUUCACCAAACUUAUCUUUUGAAUAACCAACCGGAUCUACAUU